UUUUGAAAAUUAAAAAUUUUUAAAGCUCUUUUUCUUAAAACAUAUAAAAAGCAAGAAUUUUCCAAAGCAAUUGAAAGGAAUAUCAAUAGCAUUCCGAUGGAUAACAAGUCCUUGAGUGCGAAACAUCAGAGGUUUCCCAAGCAGUUAACCCUUCGGGUAUCCCUAGACGACUGUGUUGAUUCAGUUCCUCAGCGGAAUUUUUGAUACCCCAGUAGAGCUUCAUUCCUUUUUCUUAGCUGAGUUG
This 244-nucleotide long non-coding RNA is filed under the name Lathyrus oleraceus (garden pea). RNAcentral describes it as "Pisum sativum (pea) long non-coding RNA (PSAT_LNC038949)". Lineage: Eukaryota; Viridiplantae; Streptophyta; Magnoliopsida; Fabales; Fabaceae. The record is from RNAcentral.